Non-coding RNA from Pilatotrama ljubarskyi, 101 nucleotides. NCBI's taxonomy places the organism in Eukaryota, Fungi, Basidiomycota, Agaricomycetes, Polyporales, Polyporaceae. The record is from the annotation of a GenBank genome assembly.
GGUUCAGUGGUGUAGUUGGUUAUCACGUCUGUCUCACACAUCCGCUCUAUGAAGCAGAUCAAGAUCACAGGAGGUCUCCGGUUCGAGCCCGGACUGAACCA